Salvia miltiorrhiza (redroot sage) is the source of this 1166-nucleotide long non-coding RNA. RefSeq lists it as uncharacterized. The record is from RefSeq and is a predicted model, not a curated record. NCBI's taxonomy places the organism in Eukaryota, Viridiplantae, Streptophyta, Magnoliopsida, Lamiales, Lamiaceae. The transcript is spliced from 2 exons.
GGCCAUAGCCCUCCGUUUGUCAAUGAUAUCAAUGUUGUGGAAUCCGACGUCGUCGAAACGCGCCUCUACCUGCACCCCUCGCUCCACCAGCAUCUGCACGAACUCCUGCUGCCGGUCCACCAACGGAUCGCCGCCGAAUCCGAUCACCAAGCAUUUCCCCAAACUCUUCACCUUCUCCUUCAUCGCCGCGUCCACCAGCGGGUUGCAGAACCGGUGGUCCCGGUCCGUUCCCACCGGCAGCGCCAGCUCCCACAGCAGGUCGAUUACCGGCAGCGGGAAGUACGGAUCCGUCGCCAGCUUCAGCUCGCUCUUCGUCCGCUUCUUCCCUCCGAUGAACGGCUGGUUCAGGAUCGUCCCGGCGAUCUUCAGCGGCUGCGGCUUCAUCUCCGGCAGCCGCAGCGCCGUGUUGUACGCGAUGUUCGCGCCGCAGCUCGCGCCGUAGAGAAAUUAGACCUAUUGAGAUCGCCGUAGUCUCUAAUCCAGGGAUCGCCGUCGCGGUCGGUGGCCUGGUUCUGGACCCAGGCGACGGCGUCCAUGGCGUCCUCGUACUGCGCGGGGAGGCGGUGCUCGGGGGCGAGGCGGAAGUCGACGGCGAUGAAUAUGGAAGGGAUCUCGGUGGAGGCGCGGUUGCUGCUCUCGUGGAUGAGGCUCUCGGCGACGCUCAUCUGGAUCCAGCCGCCGGGGUGGAAGUAGAGAAUGACGGGGAGGCGCGUGGCGGAGGGGAUCUUCGACGGCCGGUAGAGCCGCAUCCACGUCUUCUUGUCGGCGUUGAGGGUGACGUCCUUGCUCAACACGGCUUGGCUGGAGUCGCUGUUGGCGGGGGAGGUCGGGAGCUUCAUGUACCUGGUCAGACUCCCGUCUUGAUUCAGAGACACGUUGAGGUGAUCGUAGGGGUCGAAUUUUGACAUUAUUUUUCUGCUUUUUUUUUUUUUUUCUUUUUUCUUUUUCGAUGAACAACUAUGGAGGAGUUGUUUGUUUAAAUCCUUUGUGAAUAAUUUCUCUUAGCGUUUACCUCAAAACUAGGGAAUUUAUUGGAGGACUCAAGGUUGUCCAUAAACUUCGUUGCUUUUGAAGCCUACUUUCAAUUACCAUUUUGGGUAAAAAAAAUGUACUACAUUGUUUUGAACUCAGUGUUAGAGACAUCAGUCAGUUCAAUUUUAAACUAA